UCAUAUGAUGACAUACAACACUUAAUAUACAAUAUUUCUGGUACCUCUUAUGUCAGAAGGGAUUGGCUGCAAAGCUGGUUUCUUCGAUGAUCUAAAUGGACUUCUGAAU
RNAcentral lists this small nucleolar RNA (109 nucleotides) under Exophiala xenobiotica. RNAcentral's name for it is "A. fumigatus snoRNA Afu_264". It matches the Rfam family "A. fumigatus snoRNA Afu_264". The record is from Rfam by way of RNAcentral. Lineage: Eukaryota; Fungi; Ascomycota; Eurotiomycetes; Chaetothyriales; Herpotrichiellaceae.